UUAAUUGAAACCAAAAUAGCGGUAUAUUACUGUUAAUAAUACUAUUGAGUUUAACUCCAAUUAAAAAG
Molecule: transfer RNA, 68 nt
Filed under: Trichophoromyia ininii
Lineage: Eukaryota; Metazoa; Arthropoda; Insecta; Diptera; Psychodidae
Description: tRNA-Asn
Source: RNAcentral